CCUACGGGAGGCAGCAGUGGGGAAUAUUGCACAAUGGGGGAAACCCUGAUGCAGCGACGCCGCGUGAGUGAAGAAGUAUUUCGGUAUGUAAAGCUCUAUCAGCAGGGAAGAAAUAGCGACCUUUGGUUCGCCAGACGGUACCUGAUUAAGAAGCCCCGGCUAACUACGUGCCAGCAGCCGCGGUAAUACGUAGGGGGCAAGCGUUAUCCGGAUUUACUGGGUGUAAAGGGAGCGUAGACGGCAGCGCAAGUCUGAAGUGAAAUGCCGGGGCUUAACCCCGGAACUGCUGUGGAAACUGUGUAGCUAGAGUGCAUGAGAGGUAAGUGGAAUUCCUCGUGUAGCGGUGAAAUGCGUAGAGAUGAGGAGGAACACCAGUGGCGAAGGCGGCUUACUGGACUGUAACUGACGUUGAGGCUCGAAAGCGUGGGGAGCAAACAGGAUUAGAUACCCGAGUAGUC
Molecule: ribosomal RNA, 458 nt
Filed under: uncultured bacterium
Lineage: Bacteria
Description: partial 16S ribosomal RNA
Rfam family: Bacterial small subunit ribosomal RNA
Source: RNAcentral